GAGGGAAGAGGAGAAAAGGGAGGCAAGCCGGAUGGAGCAACGCCGCGUGAGUGAAGAAGGUUUUCGGAUCGUAAAGCUCUGCUGUUGGUGAAGAAGGAUAGAGGCAGUAACUGGUCUUUAUUUGACGGUAAUCAACCAGAAAGUCACGGCUAACUACGUGCCAGCAGCCGCGGUAAUACGUAGGUGGCAAGCGUUGUCCGGAUUUAUUGGGCGUAAAGCGAGCGCAGGCGGAAUGAUAAGUCUGAUGUGAAAGCCCACGGCUCAACCGUGGAACUGCAUCGGAAACUGUCAUUCUUGAGUGCAGAAGAAGAGAGUGGAAUUCCAUGUGUAGCAGUGGAAUGCGUAGAUAUAUGGAAGAACACCAGUGGCGAAGGCGGCUCUCUGGUCUGCAACUGACGCUGAGGCUCGAAAGCAUGGGUAGCGAACAGG
Molecule: ribosomal RNA, 429 nt
Filed under: bacterium
Lineage: Bacteria
Description: partial 16S ribosomal RNA
Rfam family: Bacterial small subunit ribosomal RNA
Source: RNAcentral